UCUCACAUCUGCUAUGCUGAGGUUUGCAAA
This 30-nucleotide non-coding RNA is filed under the name Mus musculus (house mouse). The record is from RNAcentral. Lineage: Eukaryota; Metazoa; Chordata; Mammalia; Rodentia; Muridae.